AACGAACGCUGGCGGCAGGCCUAACACAUGCAAGUCGAACGCCCUAGCAAUAGGGAGUGGCAGACGGGUGAGUAACACGUGGGAACCUUCCCUAUAGUACGGAAUAGCCCAGGGAAACUUGGAGUAAUACCGUAUACGCCCGAGAGGGGAAAGAUUUAUCGCUAUAGGAUGGGCCCGCGUCGGAUUAGCUAGUUGGUGAGGUAACGGCUCACCAAGGCAACGAUCCGUAGCUGGUUUGAGAGAAUGACCAGCCACACUGGGACUGAGACACGGCCCAGACUCCUACGGGAGGCAGCAGUGGGGAAUCUUGGACAAUGGGCGCAAGCCUGAUCCAGCCAUGCCGCGUGAGUGAUGAAGGCCCUAGGGUUGUAAAGCUCUUUUGUCGGGGACGAUAAUGACGGUACCCGAAGAAUAAGCUCCGGCUAACUUCGUGCCAGCCGCCGCCGUAA
This 449-nucleotide ribosomal RNA is filed under the name uncultured bacterium. RNAcentral's name for it is "partial 16S ribosomal RNA". It matches the Rfam family "Bacterial small subunit ribosomal RNA", at positions 29 to 523 of the family's 1533-position model. The record is from RNAcentral.